RNAcentral lists this ribosomal RNA (495 nucleotides) under uncultured bacterium. RNAcentral describes it as "partial 16S ribosomal RNA". It matches the Rfam family "Bacterial small subunit ribosomal RNA", at positions 28 to 507 of the family's 1533-position model. The record is from RNAcentral.
GACGAACGCUGGCGGCGUGCCUAAUACAUGCAAGUCGAACGCUGAAGGAGGAGCUUGCUUCUCUGGAUGAGUUGCGAACGGGUGAGUAACGCGUAGGUAACCUGCCUGGUAGCGGGGGAUAACUAUUGGAAACGAUAGCUAAUACCGCAUAAUAGUAGAUGUUGCAUGACAUUUGCUUAAAAGGUGCAAUUGCAUCACUACCAGAUGGACCUGCGUUGUAUUAGCUAGUUGGUGGGGUAACGGCUCACCAAGGCGACGAUACAUAGCCGACCUGAGAGGGUGAUCGGCCACACUGGGACUGAGACACGGCCCAGACUCCUACGGGAGGCAGCAGUAGGGAAUCUUCGGCAAUGGACGGAAGUCUGACCGAGCAACGCCGCGUGAGUGAAGAAGGUUUUCGGAUCGUAAAGCUCUGUUGUAAGAGAAGAACGAGUGUGAGAGUGGAAAGUUCACACUGUGACGGUAUCUGACCAGAAAGGGACGGCUAACUACGUG